GGGUUGGUGAUGACACCAUAAUAAUAUUCCUUAGAAAAGCUCAACAAAAUGAGUGAAAACUCUGUCAUUCUCAUUGUGACUGAGGUCU
Molecule: small nucleolar RNA, 88 nt
Organism: Cavia aperea (Brazilian guinea pig)
Lineage: Eukaryota; Metazoa; Chordata; Mammalia; Rodentia; Caviidae
Gene: SNORD116
Rfam family: Small nucleolar RNA SNORD116
About the family: HBII-85 is a member of the C/D class of snoRNAs, which contain the C (UGAUGA) and D (CUGA) box motifs. HBII-85 is encoded in a tandemly repeated array with another C/D snoRNA, HBII-52, in the Prader-Willi syndrome (PWS) region of chromosome 15.
Source: Ensembl